RNAcentral lists this ribosomal RNA (274 nucleotides) under Bacillus paralicheniformis. RNAcentral describes it as "partial 16S ribosomal RNA". It matches the Rfam family "Bacterial small subunit ribosomal RNA", at positions 60 to 321 of the family's 1533-position model. The record is from RNAcentral. Lineage: Bacteria; Bacillati; Bacillota; Bacilli; Caryophanales; Bacillaceae.
GCAGUCGAGCGGACAGAUGGGAGCUUGCUCCCUGAUGUUAGCGGCGGACGGGUGAGUAACACGUGGGUAACCUGCCUGUAAGACUGGGAUAACUCCGGGAAACCGGGGCUAAUACCGGAUGCUUGAUUGAACCGCAUGGUUCAAUUAUAAAAGGUGGCUUUUAGCUACCACUUACAGAUGGACCCGCGGCGCAUUAGCUAGUUGGUGAGGUAACGGCUCACCAAGGCAACGAUGCGUAUCCGACCUGAGAGGGUGAUCGGCCACACUGGAACUG